This 445-nucleotide ribosomal RNA is filed under the name uncultured bacterium. RNAcentral's name for it is "bacterial SSU rRNA". It matches the Rfam family "Bacterial small subunit ribosomal RNA", at positions 331 to 793 of the family's 1533-position model. The record is from RNAcentral.
CCAGACUCCUACGGGAGGCAGCAGUGGGGGAUAUUGCACAAUGGGGGAAACCCUGAUGCAGCGACGCCGCGUGGGUGAAGAAGCGCCUCGGCGCGUAAAGCCCUGUCAGCAGGGAAGAAAAUGACGGUACCUGAAGAAGAAGCCCCGGCUAACUACGUGCCAGCAGCCGCGGUAAUACGUAGGGAGCGAGCGUUGUCCGGAAUUACUGGGUGUAAAGGGAGCGUAGGCGGGGAUGCAAGUUGGGUGUCAAAACUACCGGCUCAACUGGUAGUCGCACUCAAAACUGCAGCUCUUGAGUGAAGUAGAGGCAGGCGGAAUUCCUAGUGUAGCGGUGAAAUGCGUAGAUAUUAGGAGGAACACCAGUGGCGAAGGCGACUUUCUGGACUGUACCUGACGCUGAGGCGCGAAAGCGUGGGUAGCGAACGGGAUUAGAUACCCUCGUACG